Molecule: ribosomal RNA, 834 nt
Filed under: Micrococcus luteus
Lineage: Bacteria; Bacillati; Actinomycetota; Actinomycetes; Micrococcales; Micrococcaceae
Description: bacterial SSU rRNA
Rfam family: Bacterial small subunit ribosomal RNA
Source: RNAcentral
GCAGUCGAACGAUGAAGCCCAGCUUGCUGGGUGGAUUAGUGGCGAACGGGUGAGUAACACGUGAGUAACCUGCCCUUAACUCUGGGAUAAGCCUGGGAAACUGGGUCUAAUACCGGAUAGGAGCGUCCACCGCAUGGUGGGUGUUGGAAAGAUUUAUCGGUUUUGGAUGGACUCGCGGCCUAUCAGCUUGUUGGUGAGGUAAUGGCUCACCAAGGCGACGACGGGUAGCCGGCCUGAGAGGGUGACCGGCCACACUGGGACUGAGACACGGCCCAGACUCCUACGGGAGGCAGCAGUGGGGAAUAUUGCACAAUGGGCGCAAGCCUGAUGCAGCGACGCCGCGUGAGGGAUGACGGCCUUCGGGUUGUAAACCUCUUUCAGUAGGGAAGAAGCGAAAGUGACGGUACCUGCAGAAGAAGCACCGGCUAACUACGUGCCAGCAGCCGCGGUAAUACGUAGGGUGCGAGCGUUAUCCGGAAUUAUUGGGCGUAAAGAGCUCGUAGGCGGUUUGUCGCGUCUGUCGUGAAAGUCCGGGGCUUAACCCCGGAUCUGCGGUGGGUACGGGCAGACUAGAGUGCAGUAGGGGAGACUGGAAUUCCUGGUGUAGCGGUGGAAUGCGCAGAUAUCAGGAGGAACACCGAUGGCGAAGGCAGGUCUCUGGGCUGUAACUGACGCUGAGGAGCGAAAGCAUGGGGAGCGAACAGGAUUAGAUACCCUGGUAGUCCAUGCCGUAAACGUUGGGCACUAGGUGUGGGGACCAUUCCACGGUUUCCGCGCCGCAGCUAACGCAUUAAGUGCCCCGCCUGGGGAGUACGGCCGCAAGGCUAAAACUCA